GAUGAACGCUCGCGGCAGGCCUAAUACAUGCAAGUCGGACGGGAUUCAGGAGCUUGCUUCUGAUGAGAGUGGCGCACGGGUGCGUAACACGUAUGUAACCUACCUUUAUCAGGGGGAUAGCCCCUCGAAAGAGAGAUUAAGCCCGCAUAAAAUCACAGCACAGCAUUGUGUAAUGAUCAAAUAUUUAUAGGAUAAAGAUGGGCAUGCGGAACAUUAGCUAGAUGGCGGGGUAACGGCCCACCAUGGCGACGAUGCUUAGGGGAGCUGAGAGGAUGGCCCCCCACACUGGUACUGAGACACGGACCAGACUCCUACGGGAGGCAGCAGUAAGGAAUAUUGGUCAAUGGGCGGAAGCCUGAACCAGCCAUGCCGCGUGCAGGAAGACGGCCCUACGGGUUGUAAACUGCUUUUAUACGGGAAUAAACCCAGAUACGUGUAUCUGGCUGAAUGUACUGUAAGAAUAAGGAUCGGCUAACUCCGUG
This 482-nucleotide ribosomal RNA is filed under the name uncultured bacterium. Its description in RNAcentral is "partial 16S ribosomal RNA". It matches the Rfam family "Bacterial small subunit ribosomal RNA", at positions 28 to 507 of the family's 1533-position model. The record is from RNAcentral.